RNAcentral lists this ribosomal RNA (253 nucleotides) under uncultured bacterium. RNAcentral's name for it is "partial 16S ribosomal RNA". It matches the Rfam family "Bacterial small subunit ribosomal RNA", at positions 524 to 776 of the family's 1533-position model. The record is from RNAcentral.
UACGUAGGCAGCGAGCGUUGUUCGGAGUUACUGGGCGUAAAGAGUGCGUAGGCGGUUUUCUAAGUUUGGUGUGAAAUCUCCCGGCUUAACUGGGAGGGUGCGCCGAAAACUGGAAGGCUUGAGUAUGGGAGAGGUAAGCGGAAUUCCUGGUGUAGCGGUGAAAUGCGUAGAUAUCAGGAGGAACACCUGCGGUGUAGACGGCUUACUGGACCAUAACUGACGCUGAGGAGCGAAAGCGUGGGGAGCAAACAGG